Molecule: small nuclear RNA, 106 nt
Organism: Ochotona princeps (American pika)
Lineage: Eukaryota; Metazoa; Chordata; Mammalia; Lagomorpha; Ochotonidae
Source: Ensembl
GUGGUCACUUUGGCAGCAUAUUUACUAGUAUCAGAAUAACACAGAGAAGAUUAGCAUGGACCCUGUGCAAGGAGACAACACAAUUCAUAAAGCAUUUCAUAUUUUU